CCUACGGGCGGCUGCAGUGGGGAAUAUUGCACAAUGGGCGCAAGCCUGAUGCAGCCAUGCCGCGUGUGUGAAGAAGGCCUUCGGGUUGUAAAGCACUUUCAGCGGGGAGGAAGGCGUUAAGGUUAAUAACCUUGUCGAUUGACGUUACCCGCAGAAGAAGCACCGGCUAACUCCGUGCCAGCAGCCGCGGUAAUACAGAGGGUGCAAGCGUUAAUCGGAAUUACUGGGCGUAAAGCGCACGCAGGCGGUCUGUCAAGUCGGAUGUGAAAUCCCCGGGCUCAACCUGGGAACUGCAUUCGAAACUGGCAGGCUAGAGUCUUGUAGAGGGGGGUAGAAUUCCAGGUGUAGCGGUGAAAUGCGUAGAGAUCUGGAGGAAUACCGGUGGCGAAGGCGGCCCCCUGGACAAAGACUGACGCUCAGGUGCGAAAGCGUGGGGAGCAAACAGGAUUAGAUACCCCUGUAGUC
RNAcentral lists this ribosomal RNA (465 nucleotides) under uncultured Klebsiella sp. RNAcentral's name for it is "bacterial SSU rRNA". It matches the Rfam family "Bacterial small subunit ribosomal RNA", at positions 338 to 795 of the family's 1533-position model. Lineage: Bacteria; Pseudomonadati; Pseudomonadota; Gammaproteobacteria; Enterobacterales; Enterobacteriaceae. The record is from RNAcentral.